Molecule: ribosomal RNA, 193 nt
Filed under: uncultured Staphylococcus sp.
Lineage: Bacteria; Bacillati; Bacillota; Bacilli; Caryophanales; Staphylococcaceae
Description: partial 16S ribosomal RNA
Rfam family: Bacterial small subunit ribosomal RNA
Source: RNAcentral
CUUCGGGAAACCGGAGCUAAUACCGGAUAACAUUUGGAACCGCAUGGUUCUAAAGUGAAAGAUGGUUUUGCUAUCACUUAUAGAUGGACCCGCGCCGUAUUAGCUAGUUGGUAAGGUAACGGCUUACCAAGGCGACGAUACGUAGCCGACCUGAGAGGGUGAUCGGCCACACUGGAACUGAGACACGGUCCAG